Molecule: long non-coding RNA, 3897 nt
Organism: Mus musculus (house mouse)
Lineage: Eukaryota; Metazoa; Chordata; Mammalia; Rodentia; Muridae
Product: predicted gene, 46521
Exons: 2
Source: RefSeq, a predicted model, not a curated record
AAACAAGCGUAAUAUAACACCUCAGUUAUAGAUAUGGUUUUGUUUGGUUUGGUUUUUUUGAGACAGGGUUUCUCUAUGUAUCCCUGCCUGUCCUGGAACUUACUAUGUAGACCAGGCUGGCCUUUUAACUCACAGAGAUCUGCCUCCCUCUGCCUCUUUAGUGCUGAGAUUAAAGGUGUGAGCCACCAUUGCCUGGACCCAUAUUAUGGUUUUAUGAAAGCAUUUAUAUGUAUGAAAAUUUAACUAUAUAUUUUAAAAGAUUUAUGUGCAUAGGUGUUUUGCAGGCAUGUAUAUCUGUGUACCACAUGUAUGCAGUACCUAUGGAGGCCAGAAGAGGGCGAUGAAUACUCUGGAACUGGAGUUGAUUGUGCUGAUGACCCCUUGUCCUCUUGCAGGGCAGUCAGUCAGUGCUUUUAACCACUGCACUAUUUCUCUGCCCCUCUGAGUGUAUUUUAGUUACAUUCACUGCAGUGAACAAUCUGCAUUAUUCAUCUUUUGACAGAUAUCAUUUUUUUCCUAAACGCAGCCUAGAUUUUCAAAGACAAGGUGGAUACUGACAUAAAAAGACAAAAAACAAAACAAAACUGGGCAUGGUGAUGCACACCUCAAAUCCCAGCACUCAGGGAGGCAGAGGCAGGCAGAUCUCUGAGUUCAAGGCCAGCCUGGUCUACAGAGUGAUGUUCAGGACAACCAGGGCUACACGGAGAAACCCUGUCUUGAAAACCAAGAAAGGGGGGUGGGCGAGGGGAGGGAAAGAGUCAGGCAGACGGACUGUGCAUUGCUCUCUGAGGACCUGAAUUUGGCUCUCAACACUAAAUCCUGGGGAUCAGAUGUGACCUCAAAACCACAUUCACUUAUGUUUACACUAUCUGUCCAUACACAUAUAAUUUUAAGAUAAUAAAGAUACAUCCUCCACCAAAAAAAAGAAAAAUCACAGAACUCUAUGAAAGUCAAACAAAAUGAAGCCUAAGAAAUAACGCAGAAUGAAGAGGGAGGAAGAAAGGAUUUGUCUGUUCUCCUUUUCCGUAGAUAAGAAAGUAUCAGAACUUUCUAGGAAGUGGCCAACCUUUGAACACACUCAGCAAUGGAGGGUAUCCAUCUGUGUUCAGGUGUGAGCUCUUCUUGGUGUCACUGAGCUCUGGCAUGAAGCACCCAGGGCUGCUCACUCUCCCUUGCAUGCUACCAUCUACUCCUCUGGGCUGGUCCCUAAAGAGACUGUAUGCAGCACAGGCAAGCCUAGGGCAGCCACUCUCCUCCCAAGGAAGGAGGAUUCCUGAGCAUUUGGGGCCAGCUGGGGAAGGGCAGUCUAGGUUUCAUAGCAAGGUCCCGGUUCAGAGAGUCAGAGAGAGAGAGAGAGAGAGAGAGAGAGAGAGAGAGAGAAAGGCAUUUGUGUGGGCUCUCCAUGCGUGCAUAGUUAGAACAGCAAACCCCUUUUCUGCUGAACAAAUACCUUAAAGAAACACACAAGCCCGCACUGUCAGAGGCAGGUGGGUCUCUGGGUUCAAGGCCAGCCUGGUCUACAGAACAAGUUUCAGGACAGCCAAGGCUACUGUACGAGACCUUGUCUCCAAACAAACAAACAAACAAACAAACCCUUGGAGGGAAGCAAGAGCGACAAGCUGCUUUUGGUGAACCAGGAGUCAACGGUGUCAGAGGCCAAGGCUGCCAGACCCUCUAGUGACUUUAUGAACCUCGAACACUGUCUCAGAUUAUCCCUGUUGUUUUACCAAUCUUUUUGCGUUAUAAGUGGCAGUCUUGGGGCAUCCCGGCAUCUGGGUGUCCACUUUGUCCUUUGAGGAGGCAGCAUGGUAAGGCCUCAUCUAUAAAAUACGUACACAGUGCACAGAUACCCAGUGCUCUCAGGAGCAGAGGGGAUGGAGAGGGGAUAAGAAAACCAUCUGCCACUGACCGUGAUGGAGUAUAACUUUAAGCCCAGCAUUUGGGAAGCAGAGGCAGGUAGAACUCUCUGUGAGUUCAAGGCCAGCCUGGUCUAUAAAGCAAGUUCCAGGACAGCCCAGAGCUGUUAUGCAGAGAAACCACAGGCUCGUCUUCCAUCGGCUUGUCCCAACAUGGCUGUGCAAUAGGCAGCAGAGAUUUACAUGUCUCCCUCCUGCCUGCGGACCCUGCAUCUAGCACAUGGCUCUGGGACAGUGCUAACUGGGUCCUAGGCUGGCUUGCUCUCCAGAGCUUCACUGCUCUGGUUAUAACCAUUUCCUCCACCAGCCUGGGUUGUCCCCUGGGAGGGGUGGGGGAAGCAGGCUGGACUCAGUGCUCUCUCUUGUCACUCAGAAACAGUUUCCAAAUUUAUUUCCCACUGUUUUAGGUGGACUAGCAUUUACAGAGGGGCUCGACUUUCUAAGACAACCUACUGGGCAAAGUAAAAGAACGUGUGGCACAAAUCACACACUUCUGUCACCCGCUGGAGCAGGGGCUACCCUUCCAGGAAGGCGUACCUGACCGCUCUUUCAAUCUCCUUGUCCCCUCUGUGCCACAUAAAGCUCCCUCGUUCCAGCUUCUUCAAAUUCCCUCCAAAAAUGGGUUCUCUUGCCCCUCUCCACAGCAGGCCAAAACAAGUGGCCCCAAGCCAAGACCAUCUGGGCACAGCACAAACGGCUGGCUUUUGUCCCCUUCUUCUUCCCGUCAUCCUCCCUUUUACUUCUCAGUAGAAUCUCCCAGGCCUCCAGGACUCGCCUUUCAUUCUCCAGCCUCCAGGUUUCUGCCCUGGUUCUCGCUGUGCCAGCUAGCCACAGAGAGCUCCUAGUGCGGAGUACAGCAUCAAGCUCAAGGGGCUUUGUGAUCACAUGCAGUUCUUCCUUGGAGACCGUGACCCUGGAGACCACGCCUCCCUUUGUGACUAUGCCCUCUGUCUAUCCUCUAGCCUCUCUGUCCAAUUUUCUGAUUGUCCCUUCCCAGUUCGCUUGUCUCUUCAGAGUUAGAUUUUAGUGUCCCCAGCAACGCCCCCGGCCCCCUGUGGAGAAUUCAGACCUGAGUUCAGAAUCUACUUCCACCAUUCAGCUUACUGCCAGUGCCGUAGUAGUUCCAGCAUUGGGGUGGCUGAGGCAGGAAGUGCAGGAGUUUGAGGUUGGCGCUAGGGAGAUGGUUCAGUUGGGAAGGUGUCUGACACACGGAGGACCUGAGUUUGGAACCUCGGUAUCCAUGUAAGAUGCCCGUACAAUAGGGCGCACUUGUGAGCCCCGUGCAGGGAGGCAGACAGAAGGAUUCUGGGGGCUGGCUGGUUGGUCAGCUAAUCAAGCUGAAAAGGGAAGAUUCGGGUUCAGUGAGGAGCCCUGUCUCAAAAUAGAGGACAGUUGAAGAAGACUUCUGAUGUUGACCUCUAACCUCUCCACACACAUGAACACAUGUACAUUUGUUUUUUGUUUGUGUGCUUGUUUGUUUCUAACAGACUUAAUUCAUUUAUUUUUCUUGUAUAAAAACCCUUUUGUGGUAGCCACAGCUCGAGCUGAACAGAGACUCUGGUGUGGGUUUUCACAAGAUGAUCAGUGAAUUCCUGAUAAGGAGACUUGGUGAACACAGAGGUCGGGGGUCAGAAGCUGUGAAGGCAUUUUUACAGCAGUGGUCUGCACACCUAUCUAGCUCUCCCCUUUGACCGUGACGUCCGUCCGGGAAGACUGAAACUGCAUUUGAUUUCUGCCUCCCCAUCUGCUUCGGAAGCAGGUACUGAGUACAUCAGAAACAAUAGCGUUAGCGCUCACGUUAGCGCUCAUCUUAAAAUAUCCUUUUAUUUGUUUUGUUUUGUUUUGUUUUGUUUUUGAGACAGGGUCUCACUGUGUAGCUCUGGCUGGCCUGGGAUUUGCUAUGUAGAUCUGAUAACCUCAAACUCAUACAGAUCGGCCUGCCUCUGCCUCCUGAGUGCUGGGAUUAAAGAGUGCUCUACCA